This 95-nucleotide small RNA is filed under the name uncultured Treponema sp. RNAcentral's name for it is "TD-2 RNA". It matches the Rfam family "TD-2 RNA". From Rfam's summary of the family: non coding RNA found in Treponema denticola Lineage: Bacteria; Pseudomonadati; Spirochaetota; Spirochaetia; Treponematales; Treponemataceae. The record is from RNAcentral.
ACAGGAUGUCCGGUGGUUCCACGCCUUUCGAGUUUUUUGCGCAAGCAAAAAUACUCGAAGCUCAAAAUCGGACACGGAUGUCCGAUUUUGAGCGA